UGCUGGUGAUGAAGCUGCCUCACUCCGAGCACUGGGCCUUGCCUGGGGUAAGCCAGGCA
Small nucleolar RNA from Microtus ochrogaster (prairie vole), 59 nucleotides. Ensembl annotates it as predicted gene, 22871. The record is from Ensembl. NCBI's taxonomy places the organism in Eukaryota, Metazoa, Chordata, Mammalia, Rodentia, Cricetidae.